This 253-nucleotide ribosomal RNA is filed under the name uncultured bacterium. RNAcentral describes it as "partial 16S ribosomal RNA". It matches the Rfam family "Bacterial small subunit ribosomal RNA", at positions 524 to 776 of the family's 1533-position model. The record is from RNAcentral.
UACGGGGGGGGCAAGCGUUGUUCGGAAUUACUGGGCGUAAAGGGCCAGUAGGCGGCCAACUAAGUCCGACGUGAAAUCCCAAGGCUUAACCUUGGAACUGCGUCGGAUACUGGAUGGCUUGAAUUCGGGAGAGGGAUGCAGAAUUCCAGGUGUAGCGGUGAAAUGCGUAGAUAUCGGGAGGAACACCUGUGGCGAAAGCGGCUCACUGGACCACAACUGACGCUGAGGCGCGAAAGCGUGGGGAGCAAACAGG